AGGACUUUUACAAGAACAGAGGAGGCUCAUAAGAGUCAUCUCGAGGCACCUCAGAUCUGAAAGUAUAUGGUGCAUAAUUGGAAAUGGAGCAUGAUGGGGAGAAGUAUGAACCAGAGACUUUUGGAAGAAGUCUGAAUUCUGUGUGCUUUAUAUACAUUUCUCAUGAAGUAGGUCCACAGUUGUAAAGAAUUUAUUCCAUUGCAUACAUUUAUUCACCAUUAACACUACUUCAAAACAACCCUUUAUGCAUAAACACAUAUAUGAGAACAAGAUAAACUUGUUUAAAUUUCUACUAAGGAUUGUUUAGAAAAUAUCCAAAUGAACCGAGCUUAAACCAUGCUGAAUAUUCAUACAUCUCUAAUUUUUUUAAAUGUUGCUAAAAAUUAAAAAUAAGGUUUGCGUCUAGUAAGGUGACAUAUCUAGAGUUUACAAGAUCAUGUUUAAUACUGUAAACCAUCUAUAAUUUUAAUUUCCUUUUUUCAUAUGCUGUGUGACAAACAAUUCCACCAUUAUAAAUAACCUUCUUUAUAGAGUCAUACUAAUGGUGCCAUAAAGGUAUUACUUGAUGUAUUUCCUACAUUUUUCUCUCCUUUGUUUUUGAAAAGAUUUAUAGUUAUUUCUCUAUUUAGCCAGCAGAUGUGAAGUGACUUCAGGUUGAUCUGUAUCCAUCAGAAAGUGCCAAAUGUUUCUUAUUUAAUUCCAUUUCCGUGGAAACCUGAAGACACUUCAUGUAUCGUCUUUCAAUUUCCUGAAGAAAGAUAACUUUCAUUAUUUUGGCAUGAGACACUCUUAGAAUGCCCUAUGUCGAGAAUAAUUAGAAUUUCACUCUUCAGCUUCUCUCCUGCAGUAUAUUGACUGUCUAAAAGAGCCUCACUGUCUGGUGCCUGAUAAAUGUGUUCUUGAGUGUAUGAACUGAAGUGAAUCUGAGCCAGACCAGUUAGAGCUGUCCAUGUGAAAGCCUAGAUAAAGGUGUAAAAAUGUACAUGUUGAGACAUUCAUUAAUUUACUGCAUGACUAUUCCAUUUAUUAAACAGAGGCUACUGUGACAGACUAGCUCAGAUGUUGUGUCUAUAGAGAAUAAGAAAAUAAAUUCAACUACACAGUUACCAUGGCACUUGCAAAUUGAGUUUUAACAGUUACUUUCAUUUCAUUAAAACAAAGCCUAGAUUAGUACUGGUCCUAAACUCUUUCAAAAGACUUCUGCAAACUGUGGUGGGGGGACAAAAGAAAUUUCAUAUGAAAUACUGGUAGAAACAAAGACAGAAAGUAGGGGCAAAGCAAUUAUUUCAUUUAAAAUCACAAUCAAACUCUGCCUCAUGUCUUAACUCACACUGCUUUUCUAGAGCCACCUGCCAUUUCACAAGUGAAUACUUUGUGCCUCUGCCUAGAAGACUUUGUGCUGUCUCUCUUUCCACAAAAUUGAAUAAUCUCUUCUCCCU
RNAcentral lists this long non-coding RNA (1439 nucleotides) under Homo sapiens (human). Its description in RNAcentral is "HSALNT0078211". The record is from RNAcentral. Lineage: Eukaryota; Metazoa; Chordata; Mammalia; Primates; Hominidae.